Molecule: long non-coding RNA, 2652 nt
Organism: Mus musculus (house mouse)
Lineage: Eukaryota; Metazoa; Chordata; Mammalia; Rodentia; Muridae
Product: predicted gene, 40527
Exons: 3
Source: RefSeq, a predicted model, not a curated record
CCCGAGUGCUGGAAUUAAAGGCGUGCGCCACCACGCCUAGCUUAAAAUGCUACAUUUUAUAUCUGCCAAGUUCUUAAAAUGCCCACGACUGGGGAAGGGUUACUAGAAAGUGAGGGCUUUAGGAGGCGGAGCCUAGAGAAAGGAAGUUGCAUCUCAGGGGCGUGUCUCUGAGAAAACUUCCGGUCUCUGCAGGCUGGCCUACUUAGGGUUUCGGUACAGCGCAUUCCUGCUAUCCUGAGUUCUCUCUCCUGUCUGAGUUCAUGCAGUGACCCAAUGACCUUAGACCCCUGAGCCAGAAGCCCUCUCACCAUCACUGCCCAGAAAGUUGAAAAAGAAUGAGGCUCUUUUUCUUCCCAUCGUUUAAAAGCAAAAACAUUUCAGAAGGAGGCCAGCCUUGGAACGCCUGGCAACACGAUCCGAGAGAGGCAUGCCCGGGCUCUGAGGGAGAGAGACAAACGACAGACAUGCAGCUAACUGGAUGGAAAGUUGGAUUUGAUUCUCUCUUAGGUGUGCAGCCCAGAGAGGAGUCCCAAGCUUUCCCAUGUAACUGAUGUGGGGAUGAAGUAUGGGUGGUUGGGACCACUCAAGGACCAGCAUCCCUCCUAAAGCCCCAAAUCUGGAGAUUUCCCACCGCAAAGCACCUGAUCUAAAUGAAAAUGGCACCUCUGGAGACCCACUAAACCCGGAAGUUGCCUGCAUCUGAGGACGGUCCUACCGUGGCCAAGGCGUCAGCCCCUGGGGACAGAGGCCCAGCAUCUGAGGAAGGGAUGUAGAUUCCAGAAGAUGGCCGCAGAUUGUCCACUCCCCCCCCCCCCAAGUCAACCAAGGUCACCCUGCCGCGGAUAUACUGUGCUGUCUGUCGCCUCCUUGGCUUCCUUGGGGAAUUGGGCCAGGCACAAGAAGUCCAGACACGUGGGGCCAUCAACAGUGUCUUGGAGGAAGAAUACGGAGACCCUUCUGGACAAGGGGAAGAACUUGAAGACUAGUGACUGAGCCAUGCUCACGUUUGCUAGUAGCUGGCUCCAACAUACCCUCUUGGAUAUGCCCUCGUGGACUGGAAUCCUGGCAGGGGUGGGGGGCACAGCGGAGUAAAGAACGUCUUUCAUGGCAAAAGAAUAUUUCCUUCUUAAAAGGACUAAAGGCUGUCCUGUGAAUACUCUGGAAGCUGAGGCAGGAGGAUGGAUCCAGGUCAGACUUAAUACAUAUUACAACCUUUUCACACACACACAAAGAGAAAGAGAGAGAGAGAGAGAGAGAGAGAGAGAGAGAGAGAGAGAGAGCGCUAGCUGACUGCUUUACCAUUAGGAGACAGAGAGAGAGAGAGAGAGAGAGAGAGAGAGAGAGAGAGCGCUAGCUGACUGCUUUACCAUUAGGAAGCCACCAGUAAAGAAAACACAAUUAUUCCCAGUCUAUAGGUGAGAACACUGAGGCCUCUCAAGGUUAUGAGACUAGGCAGCAGGCUGUGGCACUUGUUAACAGGUCCUCAGUUUUGUCCAGUGGGCUCCCUCUGUGCUUAUUCUAGCAAUGGAUAUGAGGAGGUUUUAGAUGAAGUAUGUCUCUAUGGGCCAUCUUUGAAAAGCAGGACCUGAUGGAUUCAUUACUGUUAGCUAAUUAUAAUCCUUUAUAUCCUGUGUCUUUAGUCAUCCCCAUGGUGUCUUCAUUAGUGAUCCCUGGUCCAAAGUGCAAUCAAAACUCUCCCUUCAGCUGGUACGAGGUCUGCCAUCUCGGAGAGUGGUCCUGGUGUGGAUGUGCCUUCCCACUGACUAGGGUCAGGGGUUUGGGACAUAAAGAGCUCAGAAGCCUGCUACAUCCUCUUUGAUGUGUCACAUGUGGACAACCCUAGUGGCAGCUUGUCUUAUUUUAAGUUAGAGACCCAGGAUCACCAGCCAAAGGCUUAUUUUCUCUUUCUGGAGGCUUCACCAACCUGAAGGGAUGAAGAGAUGGGCAGGAAUUAGCUCCUUCCAAUGGGAAUUAACCACAGGGAAACAGUCUUUGGGACUCUGACACAAUGGGUGAGCUCAGGACCCAUUCCAUUCCGAUCUGAGAUGUGUGUGUUUCCGGUCCUUUCUGGAACAUUCUGUGUUUGCCUCCCUCAAGGCCUGACACCCACACCUCUGCCCUAACAAGGCCUUCAUGACUCUUGGGCAGACUGCUCCCACCACCCUCCACAAAGCGCUUGCCUGCUAGCAUGCAUGAGACUGCCGUUAAGCUGAAGUCAAGCAUGCCCAGCAGUUCCACUCCUAGGCUCCGCUACUAGUGCAUUUCUUACAGAGCAAGAGUGCCGCGCAGAAAGAAGCUUACCUUUGUCCUCACCCCAUCUCCAUAGUUCCGGGCCAGAGACUCUACCUACAGGGAGAAGACUCAUGGUCUCCCAGAGGAACAGGAUUCAUUUGCACCAGAAUGUGGAGAAGAAGCCUCUUGCAAACAGAUUGGGAUGCUGUGUAGCUUGAUGAAGAACUGUAAGGACUGGAGAGAUGGCUCAGUGGUUAAGAGCACUGACUUCUCUUCCAGGGGUCCUGAGUUCAAUUCCCAGCAACCACAUAGUGGCUCACAACCAUCUCUAAUGGAAUCAGAUGCCCUCCUCUGGUAUGUCUGAAGAUAGCAGCAGUGUACUCACAUACAUUAAAUAAAUAAAUAUUAAAAAGAAAAAAA